UCCUAGCCGUAAACGAUGGGUACUAGUUGUAGGAGGUAUCGACCCCCCCUGUGCCGGAGCUAACGCAAUAAGUACCCCGCCUGGGGAGUACGGUCGCAAGGCUUAAACUCAAAAGAAUUGACGGGGGCCCGCACAAGCGGUGGAGUAUGUGGUUUAAUUCGACGCAACGCGAAGAACCUUACCGAGGCUUGACAUUGAGUGAAAAUCCUAGAGAUAGGACCUCUCUUUCGAGA
This 233-nucleotide ribosomal RNA is filed under the name uncultured bacterium. Its description in RNAcentral is "partial 16S ribosomal RNA". It matches the Rfam family "Bacterial small subunit ribosomal RNA", at positions 794 to 1025 of the family's 1533-position model. The record is from RNAcentral.